RNAcentral lists this ribosomal RNA (422 nucleotides) under uncultured bacterium. RNAcentral describes it as "partial 16S ribosomal RNA". It matches the Rfam family "Bacterial small subunit ribosomal RNA", at positions 360 to 774 of the family's 1533-position model. The record is from RNAcentral.
AAUCUUCCACAAUGGACGAAAGUCUGAUGGAGCAACGCCGCGUGAGCGAAGAAGGGUUUCGGAUUGUAAAGCGCUGUUUCGAGGGAAGAACAAGUACGGGAGUAACUGCCCGUAGCUUGACGGUACCUCGUCAGAAAGCCACGGCUAACUACGUGCUAGCAGCCGCGGUAAUACGUAGGUGGCAAGCGCUGUCCGGAAUUAUUGGGGGUAAGGCGCGCGCAGGCGGUCCUUUAAGUCUGAUGUGAAAGCCCGCGGCUCAACCGUGGAGGGUCAUUGGAAACUGGAGGACUGGAGUACAGAAGAGGAAAGCGGAAUUCCACGUGUAGCGGUGAAAUGCGUAGAAAUGUGGAGGAACACCAGUGGCGAAGGCGGCUUUCUGGUCUGUAACUGACGCUGAGGCGCGAAAGCGUGGGGAGCAAACA